RNAcentral lists this ribosomal RNA (2905 nucleotides) under Klebsiella oxytoca MGH 42. RNAcentral's name for it is "bacterial LSU rRNA". It matches the Rfam family "Bacterial large subunit ribosomal RNA". Lineage: Bacteria; Pseudomonadati; Pseudomonadota; Gammaproteobacteria; Enterobacterales; Enterobacteriaceae. The record is from RNAcentral.
UUAAGCGACUAAGCGUACACGGUGGAUGCCCUGGCAGUCAGAGGCGAUGAAGGACGUGCUAAUCUGCGAAAAGCGUCGGUAAGGUGAUAUGAACCGUUACAGCCGGCGAUGUCCGAAUGGGGAAACCCAGUGCAAUUCGUUGCACUAUCGUUAACUGAAUACAUAGGUUAACGAGGCGAACCGGGGGAACUGAAACAUCUAAGUACCCCGAGGAAAAGAAAUCAACCGAGAUUCCCCCAGUAGCGGCGAGCGAACGGGGAGCAGCCCGGAGUCUGAAUCAGCUUGUGUGUUAGUGGAAGCGUCUGGAAAGUCGCAGGGUACAGGGUGAUACUCCCGUACACUAAAACACACAGGCUGUGAACUCGAAGAGUAGGGCGGGACACGUGGUAUCCUGUCUGAAUAUGGGGGGACCAUCCUCCAAGGCUAAAUACUCCUGACUGACCGAUAGUGAACCAGUACCGUGAGGGAAAGGCGAAAAGAACCCCGGCGAGGGGAGUGAAAAAGAACCUGAAACCGUGUACGUACAAGCAGUAGGAGCCCACUAGUUGGGUGACUGCGUACCUUUUGUAUAAUGGGUCAGCGACUUAUAUUCUGUAGCAAGGUUAACCGAAUAGGGGAGCCGCAGGGAAACCGAGUCUUAACUGGGCGUUAAGUUGCAGGGUAUAGACCCGAAACCCGGUGAUCUAGCCAUGGGCAGGUUGAAGGUUGGGUAACACUAACUGGAGGACCGAACCGACUAAUGUUGAAAAAUUAGCGGAUGACUUGUGGCUGGGGGUGAAAGGCCAAUCAAACCGGGAGAUAGCUGGUUCUCCCCGAAAGCUAUUUAGGUAGCGCCUCGUGAACUCAUCUUCGGGGGUAGAGCACUGUUUCGGCUAGGGGGUCAUCCCGACUUACCAACCCGAUGCAAACUACGAAUACGGAAGAAUGUUAUCACGGGAGACACACGGCGGGUGCUAACGUCCGUCGUGAAGAGGGAAACAACCCAGACCGCCAGCUAAGGUCCCAAAGUCAUGGUUAAGUGGGAAACGAUGUGGGAAGGCCCAGACAGCCAGGAUGUUGGCUUAGAAGCAGCCAUCAUUUAAAGAAAGCGUAAUAGCUCACUGGUCGAGUCGGCCUGCGCGGAAGAUGUAACGGGGCUAAACCAUGCACCGAAGCUGCGGCAGCGACGCUUAUGCGUUGUUGGGUAGGGGAGCGUUCUGUAAGCCGUUGAAGGUGGCCUGUGAGGGUUGCUGGAGGUAUCAGAAGUGCGAAUGCUGACAUAAGUAACGAUAAUGCGGGUGAAAAACCCGCACGCCGGAAGACCAAGGGUUCCUGUCCAACGUUAAUCGGGGCAGGGUGAGUCGACCCCUAAGGCGAGGCCGAAAGGCGUAGUCGAUGGGAAACAGGUUAAUAUUCCUGUACUUGGUGUUACUGCGAAGGGGGGACGGAGAAGGCUAUGUUGGCCGGGCGACGGUUGUCCCGGUUUAAGCAUGUAGGCGGAUGUUCCAGGUAAAUCCGGAACGUUAUUAACGCUGAGGUGUGAUGACGAGGCACUACGGUGCUGAAGUGACAAAUGCCCUGCUUCCAGGAAAAGCCUCUAAGCAUCAGGUAACAUCAAAUCGUACCCCAAACCGACACAGGUGGUCAGGUAGAGAAUACCAAGGCGCUUGAGAGAACUCGGGUGAAGGAACUAGGCAAAAUGGUGCCGUAACUUCGGGAGAAGGCACGCUGAUGGUAAGUGAAGUGACUUGCUCACGGAGCUGAAAUCAGUCGAAGAUACCAGCUGGCUGCAACUGUUUAUUAAAAACACAGCACUGUGCAAACACGAAAGUGGACGUAUACGGUGUGACGCCUGCCCGGUGCCGGAAGGUUAAUUGAUGGGGUUAUCCUCGCGGAGAAGCUCUUGAUCGAAGCCCCGGUAAACGGCGGCCGUAACUAUAACGGUCCUAAGGUAGCGAAAUUCCUUGUCGGGUAAGUUCCGACCUGCACGAAUGGCGUAAUGAUGGCCAGGCUGUCUCCACCCGAGACUCAGUGAAAUUGAACUCGCUGUGAAGAUGCAGUGUACCCGCGGCAAGACGGAAAGACCCCGUGAACCUUUACUAUAGCUUGACACUGAACACUGGUCCUUGAUGUGUAGGAUAGGUGGGAGGCUUUGAAGUGUGGACGCCAGUCUGCAUGGAGCCGUCCUUGAAAUACCACCCUUUAAUGGCUGGUGUUCUAACGUGGGCCCGUGAUCCGGGUUGCGGACAGUGUCUGGUGGGUAGUUUGACUGGGGCGGUCUCCUCCUAAAGAGUAACGGAGGAGCACGAAGGUCAGCUAAUCCUGGUCGGACAUCAGGAGGUUAGUGCAAUGGCAUAAGCUGGCUUGACUGCGAGCGUGACGGCGCGAGCAGGUGCGAAAGCAGGUCAUAGUGAUCCGGUGGUUCUGAAUGGAAGGGCCAUCGCUCAACGGAUAAAAGGUACUCCGGGGAUAACAGGCUGAUACCGCCCAAGAGUUCAUAUCGACGGCGGUGUUUGGCACCUCGAUGUCGGCUCAUCACAUCCUGGGGCUGAAGUAGGUCCCAAGGGUAUGGCUGUUCGCCAUUUAAAGUGGUACGCGAGCUGGGUUUAGAACGUCGUGAGACAGUUCGGUCCCUAUCUGCCGUGGGCGCUGGAGAAUUGAGGGGGGCUGCUCCUAGUACGAGAGGACCGGAGUGGACGCAUCACUGGUGUUCGGGUUGUCAUGCCAAUGGCAUUGCCCGGUAGCUAAAUGCGGAAGAGAUAAGUGCUGAAAGCAUCUAAGCACGAAACUUGCCCCGAGAUGAGUUCUCCCUGACUCCUUGAGAGUCCUGAAGGAACGUUGAAGACGACGACGUUGAUAGGCCGGGUGUGUAAGCGCAGCGAUGCGUUGAGCUAACCGGUACUAAUGAACCGUGAGGCUUAACCUU